AGCAGCAGCCGCGGUAGUACGUAGGUCCCGAGCGUUGUCCGGAUUUAUUGGGCGUAAAGCGAGCGCAGGCGGUUAGAUAAGUCUGAAGUUAAAGGCUGUGGCUUAACCAUAGUACGCUUUGGAAACUGUUUAACUUGAGUGCAGAAGGGGAGAGUGGAAUUCCAUGUGUAGCGGUGAAAUGCGUAGAUAUAUGGAGGAACACCGGUGGCGAAAACGGCUCUCUGGUCUGUAACUGACGCUGAGGCUCGAAAGCGUGGGGAGCAAACAGGAUUAGAUACCCGGGUAGUCCCUGUCUCUUAUACC
This 303-nucleotide ribosomal RNA is filed under the name uncultured bacterium. RNAcentral describes it as "partial 16S ribosomal RNA". It matches the Rfam family "Bacterial small subunit ribosomal RNA", at positions 507 to 808 of the family's 1533-position model. The record is from RNAcentral.